This 832-nucleotide long non-coding RNA is filed under the name Lonchura striata (white-rumped munia). RNAcentral describes it as "domestica (Bengalese finch) lncRNA (ENSLSDG00000012978.1)". Lineage: Eukaryota; Metazoa; Chordata; Aves; Passeriformes; Estrildidae. The record is from RNAcentral.
CCGCUCCUGCACCCCGCUGUGUCCCCAACUGUCCCCUGCCACCCCCCGGUGUCCCCAGAGCCCGCACGGCCCCUCGGUGACACGGGUGACAUGGGCAACAUGGGUGACACAGGGACAUGGGUGACACAGGUGCCACAGGCGACACGGGCGACACAGGUGACACAGGCGACAGAGGUGACACAGGUGACACGGGUGACAGAGGGCACAGAGCUCUUUAUUGCACAGGCAGGGAGGGGACCCAAGGUGUCCCCAGGGCUGUCCCCAGAGGACAGUGCCACCCCAGGGCUGUCCCCAGGGCUGUCCCCAGAGGACAGUGCCACUGCAGGUGUCCCCAAGGGUGUCCCCAGAGGACAGUGCCACCCCAGGGCUGUCCCCAGGGCUGUCCCCAGAGGACAGUGCCACUGCAGGUGUCCCCAGGGCUGUCCCCAGGGCUGUCCCCAGAGGACAGUGCCACUGCAGGUGUUCCUGUGGCUGUCCCCAGGGCUGUCCCCAGAGGACAGUGCCACCCCAGGGCUGUCCCCAGGGCUGUCCCCUCUGUCCCUCCCUGUCCCCUCUGUCCCCUCUGUCCCUCCCUGUCCCCGCUGUCGCUGUCCCGGUCACUUCCUCAGCAGCUGGGCGCGGGCCCGGCCCAGCCGCUCAGCCAGGCCGUCGCCGCCCGGGCCGGGCUCGCAGCGCGCCAGCACCAGCCCCAGCUCGGCCUCGCUGCGCCGCUCCAGAGCCGCCUCCGCAGCCUGCUCCAGCUCCCUGCGCGGGGACAGCGGGACAGCGGGGACAGGGAGGGACAGUGAGGGGACAGAGGGGACAGAGGGGACAGAGGGGACAGAGGGGACAG